RNAcentral lists this ribosomal RNA (253 nucleotides) under uncultured bacterium. RNAcentral describes it as "partial 16S ribosomal RNA". It matches the Rfam family "Bacterial small subunit ribosomal RNA", at positions 524 to 776 of the family's 1533-position model. The record is from RNAcentral.
UACGAAGGGGGCGAGCGUUGUUCGGAAUCACUGGGCGUAAAGGGCGCGUAGGCGGCCCUCCUUGUCGCGUGUGAAAGCCCCGGGCUCAACCUGGGAACGGCGCGCGAGACGGGGGGGCUGGAGUUCGGGAGAGGAGCGUGGAAUUCCCAGUGUAGAGGUGAAAUUCGUAGAUAUUGGGAAGAACACCGGUGGCGAAGGCGGCGCUCUGGACCGAGACUGACGCUGAGGUGCGAAAGCGUGGGGAGCAAACAGG